CCUACGGGCUGCAGCAGUGGGGAAUAUUGCACAAUGGGCGCAAGCCUGAUGCAACCAUGCCGCGUGUAUGAAGAAGGCCUUAGGGUUGUAAAGUACUUUCAGUUGGGAGGAAGGCGUUGAUGCUAAUAUCAUCAGCGAUUGACGUUACCAACAGAAGAAGCACCGGCCAACUCCGUGCCAGCAGCCGCGGUAAUACGGAGGGCGCAAGCGUUAAUCGGAAUUACUGGGCGUAAAGCGCACGCAGGCGGUUGAUUAAGUUGGAUGCGAAAUCCCCGGGCUUAACCUGGGAAUGGCAUCUAAGACUGGUCAGCUAGAGUCUUGUAGAGGGGGGUAGAAUUCCAUGUGUAGCGGUGAAAUGCGUAGAGAUGUGGAGGAAUACCGGUGGCGAAGGCAGCCCCCUGGACAAAGACUGACGCUCAGGUGCGAAAGCGUGGGGAGCAAACAGGAUUAGAUACCCUAGUAGUC
This 465-nucleotide ribosomal RNA is filed under the name uncultured bacterium. Its description in RNAcentral is "bacterial SSU rRNA". It matches the Rfam family "Bacterial small subunit ribosomal RNA", at positions 338 to 795 of the family's 1533-position model. The record is from RNAcentral.